This 478-nucleotide ribosomal RNA is filed under the name uncultured bacterium. Its description in RNAcentral is "partial 16S ribosomal RNA". It matches the Rfam family "Bacterial small subunit ribosomal RNA", at positions 28 to 523 of the family's 1533-position model. The record is from RNAcentral.
GACGAACGCUGGCGGCGUGCUUAACACAUGCAAGUCGAACGGUAAGGCCCUUCGGGGUACACGAGUGGCGAACGGGUGAGUAACACGUGGGUGAUCUGCCCUGCACUUCGGGAUAAGCCUGGGAAACUGGGUCUAAUACCGGAUAGGACCCUGGGAUGCAUGUCCUGGGGUGGAAAGCUUUCGCGGUGUGGGAUGGGCCCGCGGCCUAGCAGCUUGUUGGUGGGGUGAUGGCCUACCAAGGCGACGACGGGUAGCCGGCCUGAGAGGGUGACCGGCCACACUGGGACUGGGAUACGGCCCAGACUCCUACGGGAGGCAGCAGUGGGGAAUAUUGCACAAUGGGCGCAAGCCUGAUGCAGCGACGCCGCGUGAGGGAUGACGGCCUUCGGGUUGUAAACCUCUUUCAGCACCGACGAAGCGCAAGUGACGGUAGGUGCAGAAGAAGGACCGGCCAACUACGUGCCAGCCGCCGCUGUAA